CAAGUACUCCCUCUGUCCGGAAUUACUUGUCAUCAAAAUGGAUGUGUCUAGAACUAAAAUACAUCUAGAUACAUCCAUUUCAACGAUAAGUAUUUUGAACGGAGGGAGUACAAG
This is a non-coding RNA of Triticum aestivum (bread wheat), 114 nucleotides long. NCBI's taxonomy places the organism in Eukaryota, Viridiplantae, Streptophyta, Magnoliopsida, Poales, Poaceae. The record is from Rfam.